CCUACGGGAGGCAGCAGUGAGGAAUAUUGGUCAAUGGGCGCGAGCCUGAAGCAGCCACGUAGCGUGAAGGAUGACUGCCCUACGGGUUGUCAACUUCUUUUAUAAAGGAAUACAGUGAGGCACGUGUGCCUUUUUGUAUGUACUUUAUGCAUACGGCUCGGCUAACUCCGUGCCAGCAGCAGCGGUAAUACGGAGGAUCCGAGCGUUAUGCGGAUUUAUUGGGUUUAAAGGGAGCGUAGAUGGGUUGUUAAGUCAGUUGUGAAAGUUUGCGGCUCAACCGUAAAAUUGCAAUUGAUACUGGCAGUCUAGAGUACAGUGGAGGUAGGCGGAAUUCUUGGUGUAGCGGUGAAAUGCUUAGAUAUCACGAAGAACACCGAUUGCGAAGGCAGCUUACUAAACUGCCACUGACAUUGAUGCUCGAAAGUGUGGGUAUCAAACAGGAUUAGAUACCCUAGUAGUC
RNAcentral lists this ribosomal RNA (460 nucleotides) under uncultured bacterium. Its description in RNAcentral is "partial 16S ribosomal RNA". It matches the Rfam family "Bacterial small subunit ribosomal RNA", at positions 338 to 795 of the family's 1533-position model. The record is from RNAcentral.